CGUAGGGUGCGAGCGUUAAUCGGAAUUACUGGGCGUAAAGCGUGCGCAGGCGGUUUUGUAAGUCAGAUGUGAAAUCCCCGGGCUCAACCUGGGAACUGCGUUUGAAACUACAAGGCUAGAGUGUAGAAGAGGGGGGUAGAAUUCCACGUGUAGCAGUGAAAUGCGUAGAGAUGUGGAGGAAUACCGAUGGCGAAGGCAGCCCCCUGGGCUAACACUGACGCUCAUGCACGAAAGCGUGGGGAGCAAACAGGAUUAGAUACCCUGGUAGUCCACGCCCUAAACGAUGUCUACUAGUUGUUGGUGGAGUAAAAUCCAUUAGUAACGCAGCUAACGCGUGAAGUAGACCGCCUGGGGAGUACGGUCGCAAGAUUA
RNAcentral lists this ribosomal RNA (372 nucleotides) under uncultured organism. RNAcentral describes it as "bacterial SSU rRNA". It matches the Rfam family "Bacterial small subunit ribosomal RNA", at positions 526 to 896 of the family's 1533-position model. The record is from RNAcentral.